GUUGAACAAAGUUAUCAAGAUGACUUCACAAUAACCAUACAUUUCAACGCCAAGCAUACAUCAAAUUAAGUGUCUGCAGCGAAAAACAAAUUUUGGACAUACACACAUUCAUAUAUAUGAAACUACAUAUCUUUAGGUUGCUCCUAUUAAAGACGAAAAGUCUUUACUCAGCAUUUCACCAUCGUCUUCAUUAGCUCAACCUGCACAUUUAUUAAUACAUAUAGGGUUGAGUACAAAAGAAUUCAGUGUGCAAAUAUAAAAAAUAUACUUGAGUAAUUCUGAAUUGUUAUGCCAUCUCAAUAGGAGUCAGGGGAUUUUUUAGGACAUUAACUUAGAUUGAUUUGAAAAUUAGGACAAUAACUUUCGGACUUGUAAAAUUAGGACACUAAUUAUUUUUUUAGAGUAAAAUAGGACACUAAUUAAUAAGCUUUGUAAAAAUAGGACAUUUCUCAGCCGAUAAUUGGCUAAAAAAUGUCAUGCGGAUGCAACACUUAUUAAUUAGUGUCCUAUUUUACUCUAAAAAAAAAUUAGUGUCCUAUAUUUACAAGUUCGAAAGUUAUUGUCCUAAUUUCCAAAUCAAUCUAAGUUACUGUCCUAAAAAACCCUCGAACUCUCUCAAUAGUAACGCAAGGGGUUUUAUCUGAAAAUGUCCGUGCUUACUAAAUUCCUUUUUGAAACUAAAGUUUGCAUAAUCAAUCUAAGUUCUUUUGUACUUUAUCAUAUAUGUGGUGAUAAUUGAGUGCCGAGAAAAUGGUCGCCUUCUACAAUCACAAAUCGGCCAAUAUGCUAAAUCGGCUCACGAUCCCUUGUAUACACUGACUUUGUCUAACAUCUGGAUAUAACAAGGUUCAAAUUCGAUUACCGUAAAAUUACCUUGAGUUAUACUGUAUUUUGAGUCGGUAAUUAUAGCUACGUAAAAAGGGUGUUGCAACGGGUCGGUUGCUCAGUUAAUCUAGGUCAAUUAAGCUUAACAAAUCUAAUUUAAUCUAGCUAUAUUACUAGUUAAUAAAGAAUUGGGCCUUUUCAUUUUCUACAAACUUUGGCCAAUAAAAAUGCUGUUGGGACUUGGACUUGGGCUUGGGCAUCUUAAUAAAAUCCUGAUUCAUCUUCUGUAUUGAAUCAAAUCAAUUGUGAUGUAAUUGGGCCCAUCAUAAAUCUCAACUCACAUAUAGAAUUUAAUCUACUAGAUAAAAUUAUUAUUAAUCAGUGUCUUCCAACUGUCUCUAAGCUGGGCCACUACUCAAAUCCAUAAAAAGAGAGAGAAACAAAUUGGGUAAUACUAGUAAUCACAUGCAACUCUCAAUUUUCUCCAAUGAAAAUGUUUAAGGGUACUUUAAUUUCUUUUAAUUUUUUACUUGCCAUAUUCGUUUUCUUUAUUUUUAUGUUUUAAUAAUAAGCUCAUUGACUCCAAAUCUAUGAUUUGCGCCACUAGACAUGCAUAUUGCAUAAUGUUGCUCCUUGUAAUUCUUUGUGUUUUUGUGUUAGAGAUUGUCAACUAUGAUAGUUUUCAAAUUUACACGACGUACACUUUUUAUUUUUUACUUUUCUUUUUCAAAAUAUUAUCUUUCAUGUGGAGUUAAUUUAGUGAUUUAAAUUAAUUAUGCCUUUUGUUAAUCCGAAGAGCAUUCCGCAAAUUAUAAGAUUCGUUUUUGUACGCUAAGCUUGGGUCUAAUCGUGCCGACGUCUUAUCCACAAAGCCCACUUAAUAUUUAUUGGGCUUGAUCAUUACGUGACAAAGGCCCAAGAUAAUUAAAAUAUUGAUAUGCAUGUCGAAUCUUCAAUUUCUUGACAUAUGAAAUAAUGAAACAAAAAUUGGCUAAGAAAACAGUUAAAUGACGCUUAUGUUUCCGUGGGGGUCCUUGUAAUUUUUUUUAAUGACUUACAAGCAGUCCCAUUAGAUUUUGUGACGCAAUGAUAUCCACCCCAUGUCACACUCAACUAGCAAUUUUAUCAAAAUAUUUAAGACUGCGAUUAUGAUUAAAUAAAUGGUGGUCAAUGACUAAAAUCAUCUCAAAUCCACCGAAGUUGGUGAAGAAUGAUGUAGAAUAGUGAAAAGGCAGAACAUAUUAUAGCAUGAUACUUGAAUGGGAUAUCAAUCUGAUCAUAUCAAGAUUGUGCACACAAUAUCUCUCUCAAGUCUCAAAUAUGUAUGUGCGCAACUUUAUCAUUUAAUUAUAUAACCAAUCGGAUACAUACAAUUAAUUAUAAUCAAACUUACACAUAUAUAUACUAUGCACUCUUUUCCUAAAUUUAAAUUUGAUAAGCGAAUAUGAUAACGCACCCAAAUAAAAAGUGAAGUAAAAUUGGCUCUUGGAGUUGUGAAGUAAUAUUGAACCCCAAAAACACAGUAGUCACAAUCAGAAAUUCUCGUCAUCAAUAGUCAAUACAUUACAUAGUUUCUCGUGACUUUACAAAUGUAUCUAAAGACAAAGGCAUCGGCCUCUGUUUUACUACUCUCAAUAUAUUAUCAAAAAUUUCAACCCCUUGUUUUGUUGUCGCCUUCUUAGUUCCCCAAUUCGAGAAACACAUCUCUCCAUGCAUAUUUUUUCAAUCUUUGCUUUUGUAGGUAUAUAUAUGAUUUUUUUUUUGCAUUUCAUGGUAGUAUUUGAAUUCAUGACCAUUAAUUCAUUCACAAAAACUUGAGUACAAUCGAGUGUAUCGUACAACUGGGUUGACCCGCACUCAAAAUAGUGUUAUUUAUAAAAUUCGGGUCAGAAUACGGAUUCGGAUCAGGGUGCAGGUAAGGGUUUAAGUGAGUGUGCAACCUGAUUGUACAGUACACUCCAUGUACCCAAGACCAUCUCUAAUUCAUUUAGUAAAAAAUGUUUACACUCCAAGAAAAAUAAGUUAAGCUUAAGAGAGAUGGUGUUGCUUUAAUUAUGGGAUUAAUAUAAUUAUCGAGCAAGUCGUUAUCUAACCUACCCUGAAGGGAAGAAAUUUGUGGUGCUUUUGAAUGUCGGCUUAUGUGGAAAUUCAAACACAAAAAUUUUAUAAAUGCAAGUUGUGAUAUAAUCUAAAUCUACCCCUAUCUGCUGCAUUAAAUACGGUAGAAGAUUUGUCUGUACGUACGUUUUUCAACACUACACCGCACUCAUCAUUUAUCAAUCCCAAUCCCAAUACCAAACCUAAAGCUUAAUUCCAACGCGUGGCGAUAAGUGCUAUUACGCAUCAACCCUACACCUUAUUUACUUCUCAUCGUCACCAUAUUUUUACCCCUUUUUUCCCCUUCUAAAAGUUAUGACUCAUAGAUAAGGGAGUAAAAUACAAGGUAUUCACAAUUUAAAUGGUUUGAAUCGAGUUUAAGAUACUAUUCAAACGUGCAUGAAUUUUUUGAAUAAUUUUUGUAAAUCAUUUUUAAGAAUAAUUUAAUUAUUAUUUUAAUCGAUAUUACUUUGACUUGAUUUCGGUCUUCAACAAGUUUGAUAAAUUCUUGUGACAAUAACAUCACCUUUUAAUUAAUAGCAAAAAAAAGAUCCAUUUAAUAUAAUUCGACGGCAUUAUUUUGACCUCAAGACUCAUAUGAUGUUAUUUCAUGAGUGAUGUGCGGUAAGUACAUUCAAAUUAAGGAUCACACCAUAUUAAUUUUUUGGUUGUCGGAAAGGUUUAGCUUGUCUAUUUUGCCACAAAUUGAAAAUUGAUGUUAUUAUUAAAAUAAUUUAUUAAAUGUGUUGAAAAUAAAUUUUAGGAUACAAUUUGUAAAUUUUUUAAUUAGCAAUUAACCACCCUAAAAAAAUUUAGACAAAUAAUAAUUUAAUUUUUUUAGCUUAAUGAAAUCCUACCAAGCUCAAGUGAAGACGUUUAAAAUUAAUCCUACUAUAGUCUAGUUUUGAUAGAUCACUUCAUUUAAAAAUUACUAAAAACGUGAUUUCAGGUCAUAAAAUUUCUUCAAAACAAACAGGGUCGCCCAUAAAAUAGGAGAGAUAGAAAGGAGAGAUAAGUUGUACAGAAAAUUAAAAUUAAGGUACACCAAAAUUUGACGUAAUUCUUUAAAACAUGUGAAGCUUUACGCAACAUGUUUACAUCACAAUAAAUUUUCGUACAUUUUACCCAAAAUAAAUAACUAUCACUGAUUGUGAAAGAUAGGGCAACGUGCAAGUAUAUAUAACAACUCAAUCACUUUAACCUGAUAUUGGUAUCGAAUAUAUUUUAAUAUUUUAUAAACCAUUGCAUAAUACUUCCUCCGUCCCACGCAUUUUAACACGUUUGGUUUGGGCACGAGAAUUAAGAAAUUGUAGAUUAGUAUUUUAAGUGUGUAGUUAAUAAAAUAUAAAAGUGAUAAAGUAGGAGAGAGAAAGUGAUAAAAGUGAUAAAGUAUGAGACAAAAAAUAAUAAAAGUAAUAAAGUAGGAGAUAGAAGUUACCUUAUUUGAAAAUGUGUUAAGAUUUGUGGAACGACCCAAAAAGAAAAACGUGUCAAGAUUCGUGGACGGAGGGAGUAUCAUCACUAGCUAGCAAAAUAAACAUAUUAAAAAAAAAAAACCACAAUUAAAAAAUGACUGGAAAUACUUUUUCCAUGUUGGCACGAUACUUAUUUGAGAAACU
RNAcentral lists this long non-coding RNA (4541 nucleotides) under Salvia miltiorrhiza (redroot sage). Its description in RNAcentral is "long non-coding RNA (SMIL_LNC005052)". Lineage: Eukaryota; Viridiplantae; Streptophyta; Magnoliopsida; Lamiales; Lamiaceae. The record is from RNAcentral.